GACGAACGCUGGCGGCGUGCUUAACACAUGCAAGUCGAACGGAAAGGCCCUGCUUUUGUGGGUUGCUCGAGUGGCGAACGGGUGAGUAACACGUGAGUAACCUGCCCUUGACUUUGGGAUAACUUCAGGAAACUGGGGCUAAUACCGGAUAGGAGCUCCUGCUGCAUGGUGGGGGUUGGAAAGUUUCGGCGGUUGGGGAUGGACUCGCGGCUUAUCAGCUUGUUGGUGGGGUAGUGGCUUACCAAGGCUUUGACGGGUAGCCGGGCUGGGAGGGUGACCGGCCAAAUUGGGACUGAGAUACGGCCCAGACUCCUACGGGAGGCAGCAGUGGGGAAUAUUGCACAAUGGGCGGAAGCCUGAUACAGCAACGCCGCGUGCGGGAUGACGGCCUUCGGGUUGUAAACCGCUUUCGCCUGUGACGAAGCGUGAGUGACGGUAAUGGGUGAAGAAGCACCGGCUAACUACGUG
RNAcentral lists this ribosomal RNA (468 nucleotides) under uncultured bacterium. RNAcentral describes it as "partial 16S ribosomal RNA". It matches the Rfam family "Bacterial small subunit ribosomal RNA", at positions 28 to 507 of the family's 1533-position model. The record is from RNAcentral.